This 531-nucleotide ribosomal RNA is filed under the name uncultured bacterium. Its description in RNAcentral is "bacterial SSU rRNA". It matches the Rfam family "Bacterial small subunit ribosomal RNA", at positions 1 to 534 of the family's 1533-position model. The record is from RNAcentral.
GNGUGGUUUUAGUCUCACCUGGCCGGGUGUUUUACAGCCUACACAUGCAGUCGGGCGGUACCAGGAGAGCUUGCUCUCUGGGUGACGAGCGGCGGACGGGUGAGUAAUGUCUGGGAAACUGCCUGAUGGAGGGGGAUAACUACUGGAAACGGUAGCUAAUACCGCAUAACGUCUUCGGACCAAAGUGGGGGACCUUCGGGCCUCAUGCCAUCAGAUGUGCCCAGAUGGGAUUAGCUAGUAGGUGGGGUAAUGGCUCACCUAGGCGACGAUCCCUAGCUGGUCUGAGAGGAUGACCAGCCACACUGGAACUGAGACACGGUCCAGACUCCUACGGGAGGCAGCAGUGGGGAAUAUUGCACAAUGGGCGCAAGCCUGAUGCAGCCAUGCCGCGUGUAUGAAGAAGGCCUUCGGGUUGUAAAGUACUUUCAGCGAGGAGGAAGGCAUUAAGGUUAAUAACCUUGGUGAUUGACGUUACUCGCAGAAGAAGCACCGGCUAACUCCGUGCCAGCAGCCGCGGUAAUACGGAGGGUG